GAACGCUGGCGGCGUGCUUAACACAUGCAAGUCGAACGGAAAGGCCCUGCUUUUGUGGGGUGCUCGAGUGGCGAACGGGUGAGUAACACGUGAGUAACCUGCCCUUGACUUUGGGAUAACUUCAGGAAACUGGGGCUAAUACCGGAUAGGAGCUCCUGCUGCAUGGUGGGGGUUGGAAAGUUUCGGCGGUUGGGGAUGGACUCGCGGCUUAUCAGCUUGUUGGUGGGGUAGUGGCUUACCAAGGCUUUGACGGGUAGCCGGCCUGAGAGGGUGACCGGCCACAUUGGGACUGAGAUACGGCCCAGACUCCUACGGGAGGCAGCAGUGGGGAAUAUUGCACAAUGGACGGAAGCCUGAUGCAGCAACGCCGCGUGCGGGAUGACGGCCUUCGGGUUGUAAACCGCUUUCGCCUGUGACGAAGCGUGAGUGACGGUAAUGGGUAAAGAAGCACCGGCUAACUACGUG
RNAcentral lists this ribosomal RNA (465 nucleotides) under uncultured bacterium. RNAcentral describes it as "partial 16S ribosomal RNA". It matches the Rfam family "Bacterial small subunit ribosomal RNA", at positions 31 to 507 of the family's 1533-position model. The record is from RNAcentral.